AUUCCAGCUCCAAUAGCGUAUAUUAAAGUUGUUGCAGUUAAGAAGCUCGUAGUUGGAUUUCUGGUAGCUCGUGAGCGGGUUAGGCCGUGUGCCUAUGCCCAUUGCGGGUUCCAUCCUUCUGUAAAACGAUUUCGUCCUUCAUUGGGCGGCUUCGGGCUCAGAUACUUUACCUUGAGAAAAUUAGAGUGUUUCAGGCAGGCUUGCGCCGGAAUACAUUAGCAUGGAAUAAUAGAAUAGGACUUCGUCUCAUUUUGUUGGUUGUAUGAACGGAGUAAUGAUUAAUAGGGAUAGUUGGGGGCAUUAGUAUUUAACUGUCAGAGGUGAAAUUCUUUAAUUUGUUAAAGACUAACUUAUGCGAAAGCAUUUGCCAAGAAUGUUUUCAUUG
RNAcentral lists this ribosomal RNA (385 nucleotides) under Aspidisca sp. RNAcentral describes it as "partial small subunit ribosomal RNA". It matches the Rfam family "Eukaryotic small subunit ribosomal RNA", at positions 582 to 975 of the family's 1831-position model. Lineage: Eukaryota; Ciliophora; Spirotrichea; Euplotida; Aspidiscidae. The record is from RNAcentral.